Molecule: long non-coding RNA, 4995 nt
Organism: Anas platyrhynchos (mallard)
Lineage: Eukaryota; Metazoa; Chordata; Aves; Anseriformes; Anatidae
Source: RefSeq, a predicted model, not a curated record
UAAAUCUGCGUUAUUUCAGUAAAAGGACAGAUAAAAAACAUGUCAAAAUAUUCUGACUGACAAUUGUUACAAAGAAUGAGUUGCAUUUAACAUUAACGUUCAAUGUCAGAGAGAGAAACUAUUUUCCUAAUCUCUAAGAAAGCAACAGUAACCUCUAUAGUUAUGUACACAUGGGGACCUGAUUCUCCCUUCCUUUCAUCAGUGGCAGUGAACUAGAGCCACAAAAUAUGCAGGCUGAGAGGAGGUAAGCAGGAUAAAUAAACUGAGCUCUCACUGACUGCAUCAUGUUUUCAGGAAGAAAAUCUGGAGGAUCACUUGGGUUCCAGACAACAUGAGAAGCAUUUCUUGUCACAGGUGUAGUGAAGGAGGUUGCUGACCAUUUUACAGUAAAGAUUCAGUGUAUCUAGGAAUGACGAGUUUCAUCUGCUGGGUCUAUUGCUGUUCCAAAGUAGGAAGAGGAUCAACAGGAACUGCGGCUGUUUGUUUUCUAGGAUCUUCAUAUAGGUAAGGUAAUUUUUGCAUCUACCUUUCUCUUAUUCUAGGUGAAAACAUUUGUGAAGUCUGGUCUCACUGAAGUCUCAUCCAAAAGUGCAUGAGCAAUUUUUUGCUCAAAGUUUAGGUAAGCACUCUUAAUUUCAGGAAUGCAAAUCAAAUUACUUUUGAGUCAGCCAAGUCUUCUAACUCGUGCCUUAUGAUAGUAGAUUAUUUUUUCCCAGAUUUUUUCAAUGUAGCAACCACAAAUAUUUCCACAAAAUUAACUUCUAUCAUCUUUAAGAAUUUAAUAGUCAAUUUUGCAAAAGUCGCUCAUCAAGGGAUAAACUGAAAGUCAAAGAACAACAACAAAAUCACCUAAAUCAUAAUUCACAUAGGUGAGGGAAAAAGAAAAAGGAAAAAAAAAAAAAAAGACUGAAAGGCUUCAUCUUUUCUAUGUGAUUUUCAAAUACUUGUGUAUACAGUCACACAAAUUGAAGCACAUAUUUUAGCUGGUGGCUUUGGACAGCUCUUACUAUUGCAUACCAAAAAAAAAAAAAAGUUUUUUGCCAAACAUUGGCUCAAAGCAUGGUUAAAUGAAUGCACCCUGCCUUUCUCUGUUGAUUUUAUAGGGAACCUAAGGAGAUCAAUUUUAUAACUGGAGACACUGGAGACACUGAAAACAGUGCCCAAGGUCUGAGUAGGAGCAGACUACCUGUGCACAGCAUAGAAACAUGGAAUCAUAGAAUCGUUAAGGUUGGAAAAGACCUCCAAGAACAUCUGGUCCAACCAUCCCCCUACCAUAAACAUCAUCCACUAAUCCAUGUCACUAAGCACCACAUCCAACCUCUCCUUGAACACCCCCAGGGACAGUGACUCCACCACCUCUCCCUGGGCAGUCCGUUCCAAUUCCCGACUGCUCUUUGUGAGAAGAAAUUCCUCCUAAUUUCCAACCUAAACCUCCCCUGGCCAAAAAUAUAACUUUUUUUUUUUUUUUUUUUUUCCCUAAUAUGGAUUUUAUAGAUUUUGAGAUAUAUAACAAAAUCUCUUUGAGAUCCAUGGGCUCAAUGUUAAAAAACAAAUGCACCUAGGGUGAAGGAAAUCUGCUUCAUCCUGUCUGUAUGUGCUCAGCCCAGAUCCACCUCCGGGCUCCUUCUAUUUCAAAUCUGCACCACAUAAGAUCUGUAGACUUGUAGUUUCUCAUGUGCAGAAGGUGGGAUAUGAGAAUGUGUGUGAAGCAUUUAUGACAGGGAUAUAGGCAAGGCCAUAUCCACAGAGCUGGUGACAGCCAUGUUCUUGUGUUGGUGCACAGCAUCCCACAGCAGAGACUGCUAUCUUCCAGCCCUUCCAACCUCUCUCCUCUCUCCCAGACUCCUGACCAGGAGACUGACUCCCAUCAGAGUUGUUGUGGCAGGCCACAGGUUCAUGUUAAACAAGAUGCCAUGUUUUAAGGGAUACUGAACAAAACAGACUUUGCUGGAGCUCAGUGGCUGUGAGUGAAUUACAAAUAACAUAGCAAAGGAGACCAAGCUGAUAGCAGAAGAAUAGCUUCAAGUAAGCUGAAAUACAUUGGCAAUGUAACAAAAUGGAGAAGGAAUAAGCAGCCUCUCUUUGUAUGUGCAAGAAAUAGUUGUCAUAAAAAAAUAGAAAAUCAUAGGCAGCCUUUUCAGAUCACACUUUGAAGCUAUUGUGGUCUUAACAGAUACUCAGAGUGGAAGAGAGUGAACUUGAAAAUCUAUUACAUUUAUGGGAUCAGUGAUUAAAUACAUAACAUAAAAGAUACUGUGUUUAAUAAUACUAAGAAAAUAUCCACCUCUUGUUCCCUUGGUUAAAAACUGGGCUUGUCAUCGAGAGCACUCAGAGCAACCAAAUCAUCCAAGAAAGCAUUUGAGGCUAUUUUCUAAGGAUAAGGAAGCCCUUCAUACAGAAGCACAGAAGCUCUCCAGAAGAAGCAACCACUAUUAUUGAGUUUAUAUCUACCACAUCUCCUCCACAUGUGGAUGAAUUGACUACGGGAAAGACACCUUAGUGUAUGGGACAGAGUGUGUGCAUAUGUGCUGCUGAAAGCUGCUGGGCUGAGAUCAAGCUUGAAGUAACUGGCAAGGGCCCCUCUGACUAUGAAGGAUAUAUAUGUUCCCAAACAAUUUUAUUUUGAUCUGACAAUAGAUCAGAAACUCAAUGUGCUUAAAAAGCUUUUCUAUCUUGUGUUCCUUUUGACAAGUUCUCUUUAAGAAAAAUACCAGAAAGAUUCCUCUCAAGGCUUUAGAUGAAAUUAAUUCCUGUCAUAAUGUAUUUCACUUUUUUUCCAGGGUAUAAUUUACCCAAAUUUUGGAUAUAAUCAUGGUGAGAUAGCCAUAAAUCAUAGGUCGGCAUUUUCAGUCUUGAAUACCUAAACCCUGAUAUCUUAAAAUACAUGGCGUUUAUUGAUUUGCCAAAAUAGAAGUUUGCCAAGACAAAACAAAACAAAACAUUUUUUUCCUUCAGAGAGAUCUCUCUUAUGGUCUCUUUUUGUAGCUGAAAAGCACAAUUUAGGUGCUACUGAAGGUUAAAUAAAAGGAAUGUCAAUAACAGCUCCUCUUAUAAAGCAGUGAGAAAUUGUUUCCAUGGAGUGCUCAGACACUAUAAUGAACUGUGGUGAAGAAAUGCUUAGCUCUUUAAAUGACCUUUGGGAACACUGGAGUAUUAGCUAUUAGGAACUGAAUUUGCCUUAAACUACUCUUCACCUAUCCAUUGUGUGCACCUGCAGCCAACUGCAUCCUGGGCUGCACCAACAGAGGAGCGGCCAGCAGGAUGAGGGAGGUAAUUGUGCCUUUCUGCCCUGCCCUCAUGAGGACCCUACCUGGAGUGCUGAAUCUGGGUCUGGGGCCCCCAGCACAAGAAGGAUGUGGGACUAUUAGAGCAGGUCCAGAGGAGGGCCACAAAGUUGGUCAGAGAGCUGGAACACUUCUAUGAAGAAAGGCUGAGAAAGCUAGGGCUGUUCAGCCUGUAGAAGAUAAGGCUCUGGGGUGAAUUUCUUGCAGAUUUUCAGUACUUAAAGAGGCCUUAAAAAAGAUGGAGGAUAACUUUUUACUCAGUCAGAUAAUGACAGGACAAUGGGGAAUGGUUUUAAACUAAAGGAGAGGAGAUUUAGAUUAGAGUUUAGGAAAAAAUUCUUCUCUCAGGGUGGUGAGGAACUGGAACAGGUUGUCCACAGAAGCUGUGGAUGCCUUGUCCCUGGAGGUGGUCAAGACCAGAUGGAUGAAGCCCUGGACAACCCGAUUUAGUGGGUGGCAUCCCUGCCUAUGGCAGGAGGGUUGGAACUAGAUGAUCUUUAAGAUCCCUUCCAACCUGGGCAAUUCUAUGUUUCUAUGAUUCUAUGUAGGUUUAUAUAAUGAAAACUAAAAGCUUAAGGUAGAAAGUGGCCCCAUCCAAGCUGCAAGUAGCUCCUCUUUCCCAUGGUCUGCAUGUGUCUCACUGCACAGGCAGACAGAACUGGUGUAGGAGUCAUGAAGGCCAGGGCAUAAAAAGAGUAGAAACCUCACCUUUCAUCUACCUGCUAGAUGAUGUGUACUGCCACCAAACUCAAGAGUGAAGACUCUCAGAUGGAAGAAUGUUACAUCUCCUCUCAACAACUGCCAUAGUAAUAGGAAUCAGGUAAUGUGUUAAAUCUAGACUACUGGAGAGAGAACUGUGAUUAUUCCUUACCCUUUGGAGGACUGUAUUUGGAGGAGGAGGUAUGGGCAUUUACACAUGAUCAGACAUUUGAAAUUAUUUAGGCUUUCUUUUAUAGAGAGAACAUAUAAAUGUGAAAAUGUUCUGGAAAAAUGCUGUAUGGGAAUUAAAAAAAAAAAAAAAGAAAAAAGCCACCACAAUCUUAACCACAAAGUUAUUGCUUUGCAUUGUACAGCAAUCUGUGGCAAAAGCAAUCUUCUUAAAUCUGUCACCCAAAGUAGGCAAGUUACUUCCUUUUCUUCCACUUAUGAGGACUAGAAAGAUGAAUACUGUCAUACGUAGGGACAUGGUUUAGUGGGUGACAUUUAUAGUAGGGUGAUGGUUGGACCCGAUGAUCUUGAAGGUCUCUUCCAACCUUAAUGAUCCUAUGAUUCCUAUGAUAAAAGUAACAGUGCUCAAAUUGAAAUUUUUGGUAAAGGAAAGAAAAAAUAUGCAGUAAGAAUUCGCUACCAAGUUAAUAACAAAACAUUUGCAUUUGCAAAAAAAUGUAAAAUAUCAAAAUCAUUUUAUGAUCAAACUCCAAGGGUCUAAAAUCAGCUACUUUUGAAUUGACCUGGAUGGGUGAAAGUUGACCUGGAUGAGUGAAAGGUUAUUUUGUGCACUGUGAGGCAUCAGGGUGUUAAAAGAAAUAAACAUUUCCUACUAAGAUUUGUGUAUUAUAAAGUUUUAUAUUCUAAUUUUAAUUAAUACUGUUUUCUUCUGUUUAAACAUGAGCAAUUAAUGAUACAGGCAUUAUGAGAGUAAGUCUCACUAAAUUAAAAAAAAACAAUAAAUUCCUGUUUUUGUAUAUGAGCAUUUUAUAUGACACCUCUU